This 253-nucleotide ribosomal RNA is filed under the name uncultured bacterium. RNAcentral describes it as "partial 16S ribosomal RNA". It matches the Rfam family "Bacterial small subunit ribosomal RNA", at positions 524 to 776 of the family's 1533-position model. The record is from RNAcentral.
UACGUAGGGUGCAAGCGUUGUCCGGAAUUAUUGGGCGUAAAGCGUUCGCAGGCGGUUUGUUGCGUCGGCUGUGAAAUCCCGAGGCUCAACCUCGGGUCUGCAGUCGAUACGAGCAAACUAGAGUGUUGCAGGGGAGACUGGAAUUCCUGGUGUAGCGGUGAAAUGCGCAGAUAUCAGGAGGAACACCGGUGGCGAAGGCGGGUCUCUGGGCAACAACUGACGCUGAGGAGCGAAAGCGUGGGGAGCGAACAGG